ACGUGGUCUAGUGGCUAGGAUAUCUGGAUCUCACUCAGGAGGCCUGAGUUCGUUUCCCAGCAUGAAAA
Molecule: non-coding RNA, 68 nt
Organism: Cordylochernes scorpioides
Lineage: Eukaryota; Metazoa; Arthropoda; Arachnida; Pseudoscorpiones; Chernetidae
Source: the annotation of a GenBank genome assembly